This is a long non-coding RNA of Mirounga angustirostris (Northern elephant seal), 4183 nucleotides long. RefSeq lists it as uncharacterized. Lineage: Eukaryota; Metazoa; Chordata; Mammalia; Carnivora; Phocidae. The transcript is spliced from 4 exons. The record is from RefSeq and is a predicted model, not a curated record.
CAUCCGGCGGCCCCGCCCCGCGGGAACCAUUCACCAGCCCCGCGCCAUGACACCUACUGAGGCGGAAGUGUCGAGGAGCGGGCGGAUUAGGACGACCGCAUAGUGCAGAUGGGAGUGGGAGUGGGGGGGCCUCCGUGGGGAGCCAGCGUGGAUCGAGUGCGGGGGCCGGAUUCCCCGCCCCCUCCGCGCGACAGACUCCGCGGCGAUUUAAAGAGACUUUCUGGCAGAGUGGCAUCCGUGUACGGGAUCUGGAAGCCUCCACGUACAUGAGGAGCCCCUUAGGAGACUCUCCCGCUGCCCGCCGUAGGAACCUGUGUUUGCAUUAGGAGAAGACAGGACCUUCACAGAAGCAAUUCUUUCGUUCCUGCCUCUCUUCUUUGCUGAGACAAAGGAAUGAAGACACCAGGCUUGGAGCUGCCAUAGCCAUCUUGUGACCAUAAAUGUGACAGCAAACAAAGAUGAAGACAGUCAACAUGCUGAGGACAGCAAAGGAGACGAUGGAAAGAAGGGGUCCUUGACGACAGAGACAGAGAGAGGCAGAGGGAGAAGCAGGCUCCCAAGGAGCAGAGAGCCCGAUGUGGGACUCGAUCCCAGGACCCUGGGAUCAUGACCUGAGCCGAAGGCAGACGCUCAACCAUCUGAGCCACCCAGGCGCCCGCUUCUGGACUUUUUAAGUAAAUAAAUGUUCGUAUGUUUCAAGAACACCGUGAGACAAGUUUUCUGUUCUUUGCUGCCAAAAAUCAUUCUUAAGUGACACAGGAGAGAAGUAGGAGAGCUUUUCUAGAAAAAGGAGCUAAUUGGUGGUAUCCAAAUGUUCUGAGAGUAAAGGAGAAUAAGGAUGGAAAAGAGGCCAGUGGAUUUGCAAUGAGAAGGUCCCUGUUGAUCUUGGUAAGAGCAAUUUAAGUGGCAUGGUGCAAUGUGAUGGGGCAGAAGCAAUGUGAUUCCUACAAAGGACUUUUCCUAGUAUGAGUGGUGACCGACAAACUGGGAAGGAUGGUUUGAUCCAACUGGGUGAUAGAAUCUAUUCUGGUCAAUUCCCAUAUUCAGUUCCUAAUAUCCAAGGAAGCUGCUUGGGUUCCUGCUGUCCACUUCAGCAACAUCUGGGAAAUCAUGAACUGAAUCACUUUGCUCUCUUAACACUUCCCACAGGAAUAAGCCAGGAAAAGUUGUUCUGGACCCUUAACUGGUUUCAUAGAGGGCAAAUCCAGCAUGUAUGAUGGGGACUAAAUAGGACUUUUUAAAAAACGUUUUCUUCCAGGAUUUAUUGACUGAAUAAUAAGUACCAGGCAUUCAGUUAGACAGAAUAAAAAAUGAAUAAAGCACAUUCUGUGUCCUCAGGGGCUUCACGAUCUAAUUAAGGAAAUAAAUUAGGAACAGUUAUAACAAGUCCGAGAUUGGUCCUCAAAGUGGCAUUAUAAGUGCUCAAGAAUAUAGCAGUUAACUGUCUGGAGAUCACUUGCAGAAGCAUCUAGAGGUAUUACUAUUGACUGAACAGGGACUUAAAGAAGACAGCACUAUUUCAGCCAGGCCAUCAGUGAGAUGUUAUUUGUUUUUAGUAACUAUCUUUAAGUACCUUUUCCAUGCAACAUGUGAACAGAAUAAAUAUGCUGUUACAUUAUCAUAUACAAUGGACACGAGCUCUUCAUUAUGACAAGUACUCCUUGGGAAGGAGUUAUCGGUCUGCACUAGGCCACCAGAGAGCCAUGGGGUUAGAAACUAAAACCAGGCAGAGAUGAGUGUGGUAUACAGAGCAGAGAAGUGAAGCACCCACCUGUGUUAGGAUAAUCAGGUAAGUGAGUCCCUCCUCUGUGUGGUAAAAAGGUUUGGUCCCCUAAUGGCUCCCACACUUCUUAUCCUCCCCAGCAUCUCCCCACUAAAGCUGGGGUGGUUGCUGGGCUGAAUAGUGGGAUUGCAAGUAGGAAAUGGCUUCCCUGCUCUCAAGUGUAAGUCUUGCUGGUCUUGUUUUCUUUUUGUAUCAAAAUAGGACAUUUUGGGGACUGGGUCCCAGCAGAAAUGAUGGCUUUGGGUGGAAGGGGUGUUUGGAAAGAGGCCAUGGCUGUGGGAUUAAAGAGAAAGAGUCAAAUACAACUAGUUAACAUUAUGAAUGCAUGAAAUGCCACUGAAUUGUACACUUUAAAAUGGUUAAGUGGUGGGGCGCCUGGGUGGCUCAGUCAUUAACCGUCUGCCUUCAGCUUAGGUCAUGAUCCCGAGGUCCUGGGAUCGAGCUCCACAUUUGGGCUCUCUGCCCUGCGGGAAGCCUGCUUUUCCCUCCCCCCGCCCCCCCCCGGCUUGUGUUCCCUCUCUUGCUGUCUCUCUCUCUGUCAAAUAAAUUAAAAAAUGGUUAAUUGUGUGUUAUGUGAAUUUCACUUCAAAAAAAGGGGAGGGGAAGGGGGUUUGCAGGAUUUAGAGAUAAUGAGCAAGAGACUUGAUCCCUAACUUUCCUAAUUUUCAAGAGUCAAUCCAGAGCCUUCUGGGAGAAGAGCAAUGCCUUAAAUACUUCUACAACCAUGUUUAUUCCUCCUCAGACCCUCCUUCCCCCUAAUCAUUUCUGUUUCCUUCCUUAUCUACACAUGACCAUCUUUCUCUCACUUUCUCCAUAUACCAACUCUUUAUUCAUCAAAACCAAGGGAUAGUGCUUUUCUCUCCCUUUCCCUGGAUCAUUGUCAUGUCUCAUUAUCAUGUCUCCACCAUUCUGUAGCUUCUCACCUUCGACCAACUGUUACACAAGCUUUUAGCACCUGCCCUCCAUAUGUCUCUCCCUAUUCCCAAUUCUAAGCAAAAGCCAAAGCCAAAACAAAUGCUCUGGGAAGGGACACAGAGACCCACAAGGACUAUGAUUCAGGACAGAAAAUCGAAAUUCAAUCAUUGACUAUUAUUUGUGCUAAGUCAUUUUGCACUUCCUGCAGACUCAGAAAUCAAAAAGGCCCUAAUGAAGUAUACCUUGCCUAACACAAUUCCUGAUAUGUGGUCAGUACCAAUAACUAUUUGGCUGACUAAAUUACUAAAUUAUCUGAUUGUUUAUUCAUGGUGCUCAAAGCAUCAGAAUUCAGUUAACUAUAGAAUAGAGUUUUGGAAAUCUCAACAAUCGUCAUCUUUGGCUGUGAAUUUAACUUAAUUUUUUAUUAUUACUUUUGGAAACUCACUUUUAUAAAAUCUGUAAGCUGUCAUCAAGGGGUUAGCAAGUGGCCCUCUCCUUUGGAGGUGGGUAGGAGGGGGGGCCUUAAUCAAAACCCUAGAGGGUAAAUUCUCUGAGGUGAAAUAGGUUUCUGUCUGACCAACCUCCAUGCUCCCAUAAUGUCCGGUACAGAAGUAAAACAUGAGCUUUGGAGGCUUUUUUUUUUUUUUUAAGAUUUUAUUUACUUAUUUGACAGAGAGAGACACAACUAGAGAGGGAACACAAGCAGGGGGAGUGGGAGACGGAGAAGCAGGCUUCCUGCAGAGCAGGGAGCCCCAUGUGGGGAUCAAUCCCAGGACCCCGGGACCACCACCUGAGCCGAAGGCAGAUGCUUAAUGACUGAGCUUUGGAGUCUUGACAUCAGUAGGAAUCCUGAGUUUUCUAGUAACUAGGGUGAUAGUAGGCAUGCUUAUGAACUUCACCUUCCUCAUUCUUCUUUUUUUAAAAAAAGAUUUUAUUUAUUUAUUUAUUUAUUUGAGUAGGGAGUGGCAGAGGGGCAGAGGGAGAGAGACAAGCAGACUCCCUGCUGAGCGCAGAGCUUGAUCUCAAGACCCUGAGAUCAUGACAUGAGCCAAAAUCUAGAAUGGGAUGCUUAAUCCACUAUACCUCCCAGGCGCCCCACACCUUCCUCAUUCUUAAAAUGGAGAUGAUAGGGCGCUUGGGUGGCUCAGUUGGUUAAGCGACUGCCUUUGGCUCAGGUCAUGAUCUUGGAGUGCCAGGAUCAAGUCUGGCAUCACAUCGGGCUCCCUGCUCAGCAGGGAGUCUGCUUCUCCCUCUGACCCUCCCCACUCUCAUGUGCUCUCUUGCUCUCUCUCAAAUAAAUAAAUAAUAAAUAAAUAAAAUAAAAUGGAGAUGAUAAUACCUUCUUACCUCCCUCAUUCCAUCCAUCAGAAAAAGUCCUCAAUGUUACUUCCAAAAAAUAUCCUGAAUCCACUACUGUUCAUCUCCACUGAUACAGACUUUCUGAUUUCACAGACAGAAGUGAGAUAGAGACUAAUAAUAAAUAUG